Small nucleolar RNA from Medicago truncatula (barrel medic), 97 nucleotides. It matches the Rfam family "Small nucleolar RNA Z157/R69/R10". Rfam says of the family: Z157, R69 and R10 are members of the C/D class of snoRNA which contain the C (UGAUGA) and D (CUGA) box motifs. Most of the members of the box C/D family function in directing site-specific 2'-O-methylation of substrate RNAs. Lineage: Eukaryota; Viridiplantae; Streptophyta; Magnoliopsida; Fabales; Fabaceae. The record is from Rfam.
UAUUGUGCGGUGAUGAUACUUAUGUGGACUAGAGUUUCUGAUCUGGGAAUCUUCACCCAGAAUCUGAUUACAACCCCUUGGCUGUCUGAGCACACAA